GAGUAGGUCUUUCAUACUUUCGAAAGUACAGAGAUCUCCGUACUUGUAAGUUGUUUUCGAUGAUAGAGCAUCCGAUUCGAUGAUCGGCUCUGUUAAAUAUAAUCUACUCUAUUAGAACUAUCUAGAAACCAAAUUUUAUAAUCUUUUGACAUUAUUUACCAAGCGAUCAAAAGAUCUCAAAAUUGACUAUUUUAAUGGUCGAUGUGGCAUGUUUUUUAGUUCAACAGUGUAGAGAUAUCCAAAUUACAUAAAAAUUUUAAAAAAAAUUCUAGUAAAUAUCAAUAGCAAGAUCAAUACUUCCGAUUUGAAAUUUGAGUCAUUUAUCAUUAUUUUUUAUAAGAUUUUUAUUUUCAGCCGUUCAUUUUGAGGCCACUUGUUCACUAGACAAAUAAAGUCAAAAAAUUAUAAAAUUUGGUUUUUAGAUAGUUUCAAUAGCGUAGAUUAUGUUUAACAAAACCGAUCGCCGAAUUGGAUGCCCCAUCAUCGAAAACAACUUACAAGUACGGAAGCCUCCGUAUUUUCGAAAACACAGAAGCCUAACUCAAAAAAUUAUAUACAAAUAACACAAAAUAAUACAUUUUAAUUAAUACAUUAUAUGCUACAAUACAUGCUAUUUUAUUUAUAAUUAUAAUAUUAAUCCGUU
RNAcentral lists this long non-coding RNA (643 nucleotides) under Ananas comosus (pineapple). RNAcentral describes it as "long non-coding RNA (ACOM_LNC040169)". The record is from RNAcentral. Lineage: Eukaryota; Viridiplantae; Streptophyta; Magnoliopsida; Poales; Bromeliaceae.